GACAGAGGGUGCAAACGUUGUUCGGAAUUACUGGGCGUAAAGCGUGUGUAGGCGGUGAGGUAAGUCGGAUGUGAAAUCCCACGGCUCAACCGUGGAAGUGCAUCCGAAACGGCAUCGCUUGAGUCUCGGAGAGGAAGGUGGAAUGCUUGGUGUAGAGGUGAAAUUCGUAGAUAUCAAGCAGAACACCUGCGGCGAAGGCGGCCUUCUGGACGAUGACUGACGCUGAGACACGAAAGCGUGGGGAGCAAACAGG
Molecule: ribosomal RNA, 253 nt
Filed under: uncultured bacterium
Lineage: Bacteria
Description: partial 16S ribosomal RNA
Rfam family: Bacterial small subunit ribosomal RNA
Source: RNAcentral